GCUUACGGCCACACCUCCCUGAGCAACGCCCGAUCUCGUCUGAUCUCGGCGCUGAGCAGGGUCGGGCCGGUAGUACUUGGAUGGGAGACCGCCUGGGAAUACCAGGUGCUGUAAGCC
This 117-nucleotide ribosomal RNA is filed under the name Esox lucius (northern pike). The record is from RNAcentral. Lineage: Eukaryota; Metazoa; Chordata; Actinopteri; Esociformes; Esocidae.